CAAACCGUUGUGCCAGAGUUUGACGAAAGC
Molecule: small RNA, 30 nt
Filed under: Bombyx mori (domestic silkworm)
Lineage: Eukaryota; Metazoa; Arthropoda; Insecta; Lepidoptera; Bombycidae
Description: ovarian small RNA-12739
Source: RNAcentral